GUGGAAUCAAACUCGUAACUUUAGUUUUAAUUCACAUUGAGCCCCUAAAAUAUCUCUUUGCGAAAUUUUCUCUUUCCCAGAAUUGUUCUCCUUGCCUCUCCGCAAAUCAACAAACCCAAUCUCUGUCUCUCUCUUUCCGCAAAUCAACAUAAACUGUUACAAUAAAUCAACAAACACAAUCACAAGAAUAUAGCAAUAAUAUAAGAAACAAAAUUAAGAAAUUCAGAAAGGGUCCAGGAAAGUUUCAGG
This 249-nucleotide unclassified non-coding RNA is filed under the name Hevea brasiliensis (rubber tree). Lineage: Eukaryota; Viridiplantae; Streptophyta; Magnoliopsida; Malpighiales; Euphorbiaceae. The record is from RNAcentral.